UUAACAUCGUGCUUAAUUAAAAAGGAAACGUAUUUCUUCCAAUCAGAGAGCAGCUACGGCCCAACGAUCGACGAAUCAGUACGUUCGGCGUCAGUCUGCUGUUGGACGUCGUGGGGAUAGGACGAAUGGAGCUGCAAUGGGAAAUUGUCGGUUUACAUUCGUGUUCGAUAUGUCGUACGACUUUCCACGAACAAAUUCCCACUCCAAUUUAUAAUUUCGUAAACAAAAUCGUGUCGCGUAGUAUCAUUCUAUUAUCGAAAGUUGAACUAGUAGGACGUUUUGCUAC
Molecule: long non-coding RNA, 286 nt
Organism: Apis florea (little honeybee)
Lineage: Eukaryota; Metazoa; Arthropoda; Insecta; Hymenoptera; Apidae
Source: RefSeq, a predicted model, not a curated record